UGGCUUAGUAGGUAAAGAAUCUGCCUGCCAUGCAGGAGAUUCAGGUUCAAUCCCUGG
This 57-nucleotide transfer RNA is filed under the name Bos taurus (domestic cattle). It matches the Rfam family "tRNA", at positions 8 to 63 of the family's 71-position model. From Rfam's summary of the family: Transfer RNA (tRNA) molecules are approximately 80 nucleotides in length. Their secondary structure includes four short double-helical elements and three loops (D, anti-codon, and T loops). RNAcentral also lists the same sequence under 1 other name. Lineage: Eukaryota; Metazoa; Chordata; Mammalia; Artiodactyla; Bovidae. The record is from Rfam by way of RNAcentral.